Molecule: ribosomal RNA, 540 nt
Filed under: uncultured Glomus
Lineage: Eukaryota; Fungi; Glomeromycota; Glomeromycetes; Glomerales; Glomeraceae
Description: SSU rRNA
Rfam family: Eukaryotic small subunit ribosomal RNA
Source: RNAcentral
AGCAGCCGCGGUAAUUCCAGCUCCAAUAGCGUAUAUUAAAGUUGUUGCAGUUAAAAAAGCUCGUAGUUGAAUUUCGGGAUCAAAUUGUCGGUCGUGCCUCGGUACGUACUGGUAUUAUUGGUUCCUCCCUUCUGACGAACCACGAUGUCAUUAAUUUGGUGUCAUGGGAAAUCAGGACUGUUACUUUGAAAAAAUUAGAGUGUUUAAAGCAGGCUCGCGCUUGAAUACAUUAGCAUGGAAUAAUGAAAUAGGACGUUUGAUUCUAUUUUGUUGGUUUCUAGGAUCGACGUAAUGAUUAAUAGGGAUAGUUGGGGGGCAUUAGUAUUCAAUUGUCAGAGGUGAAAAUUCUUGGAUUUUAUUGAAGACUAACUACUGCGAAAAGCAAUUUGCCAAGGAUGUUUUCAUUAAUCAAGAACGAAAGUUGGGGGAUCGAAGACGAUCAGAUACCGUCGUAGUCUUAACCAUAAACUAUNACCGACUAGGGAUCGGAUGAUGUUAAUUUUUUAAUGUACUCAUUCGGCGCCUUACGGGAAACCUAAA